ACAAGAUAGUGCCACGCAAGCUAAAAAGGAGUAGAAAAUUAUUGAUAAAAUAAGUUCAGGGGGGUAAUAGGACCUUAGUAUAGUAUAAGUGUGUCUCUGAGAUUUCGGGCAUAGGUUGAGGGGGUACUUGGACAUUAUCCCUAUAAAUCAUAGAUAAGUUUCGUAUUUUUUUAUCUCAUCAAUCCUAAGUUCCAAGUAUCCUAGCAUAUUAAUAUGUAAUUAAACAAAGUGUUAAACACCCCUACACGCAAUGGAAAGUUGGCAUCCAAAAGAGAUUAUACCUCCAACGCUCUUAAUGACAAAGCUCAAUCGAAAUCCUUUUUUUUAAAAAAAAAAAAACUUAUGUAAUGAUAACCACACAACGUAAACAAGAUUUUAUCUCAAUUUUUAGAUGCUAGUCUCUGGUUUUUAAUAUGGAUUUUGUGUACAGACAAGUUCUGCAUGGUUUCACAAAUAGUGUACCAUUCAUAUUUAGGGCAC
This 480-nucleotide unclassified non-coding RNA is filed under the name Hevea brasiliensis (rubber tree). Lineage: Eukaryota; Viridiplantae; Streptophyta; Magnoliopsida; Malpighiales; Euphorbiaceae. The record is from RNAcentral.